CAAUAGCGUAUAUUUAAGUUGUUGCAGUUAAAAAGCUCGUAGUCGGAUUUUGGCUGAGAACGAUCGGUCCGCCGUUAGGUGUGCACUGAUUGGUCUCAGCUUCCUGGUGAGGAGGUGUGCUUCACGGCCACUUAGUCACCGUGGUUACUUUGAAAAAAUUAGAGUGUUCAAAGCGGGCUUACGCUUGAAUAUAUUAGCAUGGAAUAACACCAUAGGACUCCUGUCCUAUUUCGUUGGUCUCGGGACGGGAGUAAUGAUUAAGAGGAACAGUUGGGGGCAUUCGUAUUUCAUUGUCAGAGGCGAAAUUCUUGGAUUUAUGAAAGACGAACUUCCGCGAAAGCAUUUGCCAAGGAUGUUUUCAUUGA
This 365-nucleotide ribosomal RNA is filed under the name uncultured eukaryote. RNAcentral's name for it is "partial 18S ribosomal RNA". It matches the Rfam family "Eukaryotic small subunit ribosomal RNA", at positions 592 to 976 of the family's 1831-position model. The record is from RNAcentral.